UAAAGUGUCCUAGCUAAAAAAAAGUAAGGUUACAAAUUAUAGUAACCAUGUGGUGUAUAUAAUAGUUUGUGCUUUUUUUUCUAGUUUGCCCUAAAUUACGAUUAGUAUCGAAUGUUAGUAGUUCAAAUUAGUGGUAUAAAAGUGUUAGUACGUUGUGAACAAGCAGUUAAACACGAAAACGAACAUCUAUAACAAUUACCAACUUAUAACAAAGAAAAGGUCCGAAAUCGGGCCUUUUCUUUUUGCGUUUCCUCGCGUGGUUUAUCCCGGAGGAACUUCUUUCAUCCGCAGUGAAGCCAAAGGACCAGUUUGGAGUGUAGGAAAGUUGGUUGGUGUGCCGAUAACCAGCUUAGUUCCGCCCGCCAUCUUGGAGCGUCCGUUCCAACAAUAGCAUCGACGCCAUUUUGAAAUUUCGGCCAUUGCAACAUCUUUACGGCUUCCUUCCCGCUUUCAACGUUCGGUCAGUCGGAUUAAGACCAAUCCCGACAAGGAACCCGAACGAAAGAAGCCCAGCUGGUGGGCCACAGUCCGUCCAGCAACCCUACAUUGCCACAAUCCGUCCAACAACCCUACAUUUCCACACCGGCAAGAAACAGAUUCGAAAGAAGCCCAGCUGGUGGGCCCUAGUCCAUUCAGCAAUCACGGAAUCCAGUCGAUGAAGGCCAUGCUGGUGGGCCAUAGUCCGUUCAGCAGCCAUCUCUGGGAAAUAGCUUAACGCCCUCGGUCGAGGACCGAAUACCGACCCUCUUUCGCCCGUUUUCUCGCCAACAACCCGCCCAAUUCGCCGACAUCCAGCCAAGCUAGCCACUGUUCAUCACCAUCAAGCCUCGCCAACAACCCAC
This is a long non-coding RNA of Aedes aegypti (yellow fever mosquito), 842 nucleotides long. RefSeq lists it as uncharacterized. The transcript has 3 exons. NCBI's taxonomy places the organism in Eukaryota, Metazoa, Arthropoda, Insecta, Diptera, Culicidae. The record is from RefSeq and is a predicted model, not a curated record.